RNAcentral lists this long non-coding RNA (1974 nucleotides) under Homo sapiens (human). RNAcentral's name for it is "HSALNT0305160". Lineage: Eukaryota; Metazoa; Chordata; Mammalia; Primates; Hominidae. The record is from RNAcentral.
CAGUGCUGUGCCUGCAGUCCAGGCGGGAGUAGAAAUCCUGGGCCCAUCUUACCUCCGACCUCAUUUCCUCCUCUGUAAUAAUGUGGGGGUGGGGGAAAGUUCUGGUCAUCAGCCCUAGCAUUCCAUGGUUCAUUUCCUCAUCAGUGAUGGAAAAUCACCAAGCAAGAGAACAGGAUGGAGAAUAACCGGAUGGGUGCAAUCGGAGGUGCUAUUUCAGGAGCUGGCCAUUCUUCAAGUCAGAAGGCCUGAGAGAGGAGCUGCCCAGGUGGUCUUCAUGGGGCUGUGCGGCCAGUCAUCCCCCACAGGUUGACAAUCCUUGCGUACUUCAUCCUUGUUGGAUCCUCUGUAUCCCUGACGAUGAGCAACUGUGAGGCCCGUUUCAGCACUGAGUUCCAGUCAGGAAAACAUCCACCCACCCACCACACGCUCACACUUACACACACAUUCACACAUGCACACACGUUCUGGCUCCGAAAAAGAAAAAAAAAAAGCAAUUUAAAAUAAUUCUGAUCCUUUGCUUAUUUCCACAAACUCCAUGAAAAUUGUACAUUGUCCAAGCAACAUUUCUUAAUAUUCUCUUUUUCUCUCAUAUCCAUUUUCCUUACUGCUGUCUCCACCUUUCUCUUCCAAACUCCCUGUUAAAAUCCCUGCCCCAGCGAACUUUUAUUCAAUUUUGUGGAAUGGAGGCUGCUCUGAUUUAAAUUAAAAAAAAAAAAAAUCCCUACUCCAUGUCCCAGAUCCCUAGUUGUUUUUUGUUUUUUGUUUUCCUGAGACAGGGUCUUGUGUCUUCCAUGCUGGAGUGCAGUGGCAUGAUCAUGGCUCACUGCAGCCUCAACCUCCUGGGCUCAAGUAAUUCUCUUGCCUCAGCCUCCCCAGUAGCUGGGAGUUCAGGUAUGUGCUACCAUGCCUAGCUAAUUUUUUUCUUUUAUUUUGUAGAGACACGGUCUUGCCAGGUUGCCCAGGCUGGUCUAGAACCCCUGGGCUUAAGUGAUCCUCCUGCCUCGGCUUCCCAAAGUGCUGGGAUUACAAGUGUGAGGCACUGCACCCAGGCUGGAUCCCUGCAUUUUUACAGAUUUAGCAUCACAAAAGUCUAAACAAUUAGACUGACUAAGGCAGAACUGCCCUUAUGACAGCAGACAUAAGAAGGAAAAGGCCAAAACACUGUGUUAAAAAUUAUCCAAAUGUGAGGAAAAGGCAAAGAGAGUAGGUGUGCCUUUUUAGUGUCUAAGCUGCCUGCCCAAGGGGCAUCUGAUGCUCUCAGGCAGGAGUCCACAAAUUUUUUUUUGUAAAAGAUCAGAUAGUAAAUCUUUUCAGCGUGAAGAGCAUGAGGUCUCUGUCACAAAUACUCAACCACCAUUACAACAUGAAAGCAGCCAACAGACAACACAUGACAAAUGAGUGUGGCUGUGUUCCAGUAAAUCUUGAUUACAAAAACAGGCAAGAGGCCAGAGCUGACCCAUGGGCCAUAGUUUGCUGACCCCUUCUGUAAAGGAAAGUAUUUUUGUUUGACUUGCUGUUUACCAUUGAUUGAACACAAGGCUCUGUAGAGUUACUUGUUAACUUGCAGAAGAUUGAUGAGUGGCAAGUAAUUUUUAUUCACCAGAAUAUAAAAUUAUUUCUGUUCAGUAGAAAAGAUAAACCCAACUGUUAUAUUAUUGUCCUGUUUUGUAUGUAACUUUGCUUCAUUUUUUAACAAAUUAAUAUUAUUGCCCUAAUUUGUAUAUAACUAUGCUUCUUUUAAAAAUAUAUAUUUUUUAAUAAAUUUGAGACAGGGUCUCACUAGGUUGCCCAGGCUGGUCUUGAACUCCUGGCCUCAAGUGACUCUCCCACCUUAGCCUACUGCAUAGCUGGGAUUACAGGCACAAACCACUGCAUGCAGCUAACUUUGCUUCUCAUUCCAGCACUUUUUAUUCCACUGAUUAUAUGUAUAUGUAUAUCUGCAUCAUCUCUCUCUCUCUCUCUCUCUCUCUCUCU